This 540-nucleotide ribosomal RNA is filed under the name uncultured bacterium. RNAcentral describes it as "bacterial SSU rRNA". It matches the Rfam family "Bacterial small subunit ribosomal RNA", at positions 242 to 796 of the family's 1533-position model. The record is from RNAcentral.
UAGCUAGUUGGAGGGGUAACGGCCCACCAAGGCGACGAUCAGUAGCCGGUCUGAGAGGAUGAACGGCCACAUUGGGACUGAGAUACGGCCCAGACUCCUACGGGAGGCAGCAGUGGGGAAUAUUGGGCAAUGGGGGAAACCCUGACCCAGCAACGCCGCGUGAAGGAAGAAGGCUUUCGGGUUGUAAACUUCUUUUACCAGGGACGAAGAAAGUGACGGUACCUGGAGAAAAAGCCACGGCUAACUACGUGCCAGCAACCGCGGUAAUACGUAGGUGGCAAGCGUUGUCCGGAUUUACUGGGUGUAAAGGGCGUGUAGGCGGAGAUUCAAGUCAGGAGUGAAAACUAUGGGCUUAACCCAUAAACUGCUUUUGAAACUGAAUCCCUUGAGUAUCGGAGAGGCAGGCGGAAUUCCUAGUGUAGCGGUGAAAUGCGUAGAUAUUAGGAGGAACACCAGUGGCGAAGGCGGCCUGCUGGACGACAACUGACGCUGAGGCGCGAAAGCGUGGGGAGCAAACAGGAUUAGAUACCAGGGUAGUCC